Molecule: ribosomal RNA, 483 nt
Filed under: uncultured bacterium
Lineage: Bacteria
Description: partial 16S ribosomal RNA
Rfam family: Bacterial small subunit ribosomal RNA
Source: RNAcentral
AUUGAACGCUGGCGGCAUGCUUUACACAUGCAAGUCGAACGGUAACAGCACUUCGGUGGCUGACGAGUGGCGCACGGGUGAGUAAUACAUCGGAACGUGCCUAGUAGUGGGGGAUAACUACUCGAAAGAGUAGCUAAUACCGCAUGAGAUCUAAGGAUGAAAGCAGGGGGACCUUCGGGCCUUGCGCUACUAGAGCGGCUGAUGGCAGAUUAGGUAGUUGGUGGGAUAAAAGCUUACCAAGCCGACGAUCUGUAGCUGGUCUGAGAGGACGACCAGCCACACUGGGACUGAGACACGGCCCAGACUCCUACGGGAGGCAGCAGUGGGGAAUUUUGGACAAUGGGCGCAAGCCUGAUCCAGCAAUGCCGCGUGCAGGAUGAAGGCCUUCGGGUUGUAAACUGCUUUUGUACGGAACGAAAAGCCCUCUUCUAAUACAGGAGGGUCAUGACGGUACCGUAAGAAUAAGCACCGGCUAACUACGUG